GAGUUUGAUCAUGGCUCAGGACGAACGCUGGCGGCGUGCUUAACACAUGCAAGUUGAACGGUCUGACAUGGAAGCUUGCUGAAGUGUCGGGUAGUAGCGGACGGGUGAGUAAUGCAUGAGAAGCUGCCAUUGGGAGGGGGACAACAGUUGGAAACGGCUGCUAAUACCCCAUAUGCCGAAAGGUGAAAGGAGCGAUCCGCCCGAUGAGGUGCUCAUGUCCUAUCAGCUGGUUGGUGAGGUAACGGCUCACCAAGGCGACGACGGGUAGCCGGCCUGAGAGGGUGACCGGCCACACUGGAACUGAGAUACGGUCCAGACUCCUACGGGAGGCAGCAGUGGGGAAUAUUGGGCAAUGGGGGGAACCCUGACCCAGCGACGCCGCGUGAGGGAAGACGGCCUUCGGGUUGUAAACCUCUUUUGUACGGGAAGAAGGACGUGACGGUACCGUACGAAUAAGUCCCGGCUAACUACGUGCCAGCAGCCGCGGUAAA
This 491-nucleotide ribosomal RNA is filed under the name uncultured bacterium. RNAcentral describes it as "bacterial SSU rRNA". It matches the Rfam family "Bacterial small subunit ribosomal RNA", at positions 9 to 524 of the family's 1533-position model. The record is from RNAcentral.